AGUGGUUCUCCGGCUCUUGCCGCUGCGGUGGCUUUGGGUCCCUCUUCGUCUGGCUUUCGCAGCCGAGGAGACUCUCUGGAAAAUGGGCUACUCGAAGAGAGAUGCUCCGUUGCCUCAGGCGGAGGGCGGGGACGCCGGGCCUGCGACACUUCAUCUUUUCCUGGCCCCGAGGUGGCUGGGAUCCGUUCCACCUUCGGCCCAGUUCCCCAGCCAGGCCCCUGAGCCGUUUAGCCCGGAUUUGCGACCCGUGAGGUUUUGAGGACAAGUGAAAAGAGCUCUUUGUGUGGAUUUUGCUGCAAUGUUUCUCUCCUACCCAGUAGGAAUGAGGCCUUAGCUUGCGCGGAAAAACCCAGGCCUGGUUUGAGAACGUGUGAAAAUGCACCGCCUUCUAAGUGGCUUUAUUAUACGUGGAUGUUUAAGUUACUUAAACUACAAGCUCCCUCUCCAAAAGGAUUCUUUUUUUUUUUUUCUUUUUUUUUGAGACGGAGUCUCGCUAUGUUGCCCAGCCUGGAGUGCAGUGGCGCGAUCUUGCUCACUGCAAGCUCUGCCUCCCGGGUUCACGCCAUUGUCCUGCCUCAGCCUUCCAAGUAGCUGGGACUACAGGCGUCCGCCAACACGCCUGGCUAAUUUUUUGUAUUUUUAGUAGAGACGUAGUUUCACCGUGUUAGGAUGGUCUCGAUCUCCUGACCUCGUGAUCCGCCCGCCUCGGCCUCCCAAAGUGCUAGGAUUACAGGCGUGAGCCACCGCGCCCGGCCAGAAUUGUUUGUUUGUUUGUUUGAGACGAAGGAGUCUCGCGCUCCGUGGCCCCGGCUGAAGUGCAGUGGCGCGAUCUCUGCUCACUGUAACCUCCAUCUCCCGGGUUCAAGUGAUCCUGGCGCGUCAGCCUCCCGAGUAGCUGGAAUUACAGACGCCCGUCACUACGCCCGGCUAAUUUUUGUAUUUUAAUAGAGACGGGGUUUCGCUAUUUUGGCCAGGGUGGUCUGGACCUCCUGACCUCAAGAUAUCCGCCCGCCUUAGCCUGCCAAAGUGCUGGGAUUACAGGCGUGAGCUACCGCGCCCGGCCAAAAGGAUAGUUCUUGACACGACCUUUCUUCCAUUAGAGGUCAAGCUAAGAAAAUAUGUAAACCCUCUCACAAGCAGUAGAAUUCCUAGGCAGUUUAGGAACUGUGUUGAGGCACUUGUACAUCUUUUCUAUCCAGGAUUUCAAAUGCAGUAACAAGUGCUUUGAUCUUUUUUUUUUUUUUUUUUUUUUUUUUUUCUUUUUUUCUUGAGACACAGCCUGGCUCUGUUGCCCAGGCUGUAGUGCAGUAGCCACCGCGCCCGGCCGAUUUUUCAUCGUUUGAUACAAACAGAAUCAUGCCAAAUGUCCGGAUCAGAUGUUUGUUUCAGUUUUAGGGUCUCUGACUGCCUUUUUAGGACUACAAGCAACACUCUUGCCAGUUCCUGGAACGGUGCUUGGUGGAGUAUCAGCUGAUGUAGCAAGAUUUUUUUGGAUCAGCUUUCUAGCAUUCUGUGACAUGACAUCAGGCUGAGUCUUCUGGCCAGUGUUACUCCGGACUGCUACAGAGAAAGAGUUGGUGGCUCAAUUUACAUGUAAACAGAACAUGGAGGGGG
RNAcentral lists this long non-coding RNA (1614 nucleotides) under Homo sapiens (human). Its description in RNAcentral is "HSALNT0384814". Lineage: Eukaryota; Metazoa; Chordata; Mammalia; Primates; Hominidae. The record is from RNAcentral.